This 497-nucleotide ribosomal RNA is filed under the name uncultured bacterium. Its description in RNAcentral is "bacterial SSU rRNA". It matches the Rfam family "Bacterial small subunit ribosomal RNA", at positions 28 to 507 of the family's 1533-position model. The record is from RNAcentral.
GCUAAACGCUGGCGGCGUGUCUUAGCCAUGCAAGUCGAGCGGACUUAUGGGGUAACUUAUAAGUCAGCGGCGGACGGCGGAGUAACACGUAGCUAACCUACCCUCUGGACGGGGAUAACCUACCGAAAGGUGGGCUAAUACCCGAUGUAGUCAUCCUGUAUAGGGGUGAUGAAAGGUGGGCUUCUGUUUACAAGCUCAUGCUGGAGGAGGGGGCUGCGGCCUAUCAGGUAGUUGGUAGGGUAAUAGCCUACCAAGCCGAUGACGGGUAGCCGGCCUGAGAGGGUGACCGGCCCGAGGGGCACUGAGAUACGGGUCCCACUCCUACGGGAGGCAGCAGGCUAGAAAUUUGGGCAAUGGGGGAAACCCUGACCCAGUGACGCCGCGUGCAGGAAGGAGCCCUUCGGGGUGUAAACUGCUGUCGUGUAGGGAGAAGGGUACUAAGGUGAACAAUCUAGUACUUGACGGUACUACAGGAGGAAGCCCAGGCCUAACUCGUG